Molecule: ribosomal RNA, 474 nt
Filed under: uncultured bacterium
Lineage: Bacteria
Description: bacterial SSU rRNA
Rfam family: Bacterial small subunit ribosomal RNA
Source: RNAcentral
ACUCCUACGGGAGGCAGCAGUAGGGAAUCUUCCACAAUGGGCGCAAGCCUGAUGGAGCAACACCGCGUGAGUGAAGAAGGGUUUCGGCUCGUAAAGCUCUGUUGUUAAAGAAGAACACGUAUGAGAGUAACUGUUCAUACGUUGACGGUAUUUAACCAGAAAGUCACGGCUAACUACGUGCCAGCAGCCGCGGUAAUACGUAGGUGGCAAGCGUUAUCCGGAUUUAUUGGGGCGUAAAGAGAGUGCAGGCGGUUUUCUAAGUCUGAUGUGAAAGCCUUCGGCUUAACCGGAGAAGUGCAUCGGAAACUGGAUAACUUGAGUGCAGAAGAGGGUAGUGGAACUCCAUGUGUAGCGGUGGAAUGCGUAGAUAUAUGGAAGAACACCAGUGGCGAAGGCGGCUACCUGGUCUGCAACUGACGCUGAGACUCGAAAGCAUGGGUAGCGAACAGGAUUAGAUACCCUGGUAGGAAAGCG